GGGGCUUACUGUCUUUUAACAUUUUUAUUUUCUUUUUAGGAUAGUAUGAACAUGAUUAACUAAGCAAACUAUUUGAAAUGAUUGAAAGGAAAAAGAUAACUACCAAGUUUACCUCUUGGCAAGGCGUUCGGUGUUUUUAAGUCCUCCGAACGGGACUCUCCGUUUUCUCAAUUGUCCUGGGAUUUGUUGGGUGGCGUAGUCGGUACUUCCGGCGGCGCCUCCUCUUCAUGUAUAGUUAUCUUCUCUUUCCAUACCUGACUCGGUGCUACGGUCUCCUCUGGAUAAUUCUGUUUGAACUGUAUGUCUUCUGACCUUACCACUUCUCCUUCAUAGUCUGCCCAUCCGUCCUUGAUGAUUUGACUCCUCUGGUUGCGGUUGCGUUGUUUUCUGACCUGCUUAGAGUCUUCAACGAUAUAGUUAGGGUCAGUAAAAUAGCGGCG
This 440-nucleotide long non-coding RNA is filed under the name Sorghum bicolor (sorghum). RNAcentral's name for it is "long non-coding RNA (SBIC_LNC010113)". The record is from RNAcentral. Lineage: Eukaryota; Viridiplantae; Streptophyta; Magnoliopsida; Poales; Poaceae.